GACGAACGCUGGCGGCGUGCCUAAUACAUGCAAGUCGAACGCAUUUUCUUUCACCGUAGCUUGCUACACCGAAAGAAAAUGAGUGGCGAACGGGUGAGUAACACGUGGGUAACCUGCCCAUCAGCGGGGGAUAACACUUGGAAACAGGUGCUAAUACCGCAUAAUUCCAUUUACCGCAUGGUAGAUGGGUGAAAGGCGCUUUUGCGUCACUGAUGGAUGGACCCGCGGUGCAUUAGCUAGUGGGUGGGGUAACGGCCUACCAAGGCUGCGAUGCAUAGCCGACCUGAGAGGGUGAUCGGCCACACUGGGACUGAGACACGGCCCAGACUCCUACGGGAGGCAGCAGUAGGGAAUCUUCGGCAAUGGACGCAAGUCUGACCGAGCAACGCCGCGUGAGUGAAGAAGGUUUUCGGAUCGUAAAACUCUGUUGUUAGAGAAGAACAAGGAUGAGAGUGGAAAGUUCAUCCCUUGACGGUAUCUAACCAGAAAGCCACGGCUAACUACGUG
This 507-nucleotide ribosomal RNA is filed under the name uncultured bacterium. Its description in RNAcentral is "partial 16S ribosomal RNA". It matches the Rfam family "Bacterial small subunit ribosomal RNA", at positions 28 to 507 of the family's 1533-position model. The record is from RNAcentral.